RNAcentral lists this ribosomal RNA (494 nucleotides) under uncultured bacterium. Its description in RNAcentral is "SSU rRNA". It matches the Rfam family "Bacterial small subunit ribosomal RNA", at positions 26 to 521 of the family's 1533-position model. The record is from RNAcentral.
AGGACGAACGCUGGCGGCGUGCUUAACACAUGCAAGUGGAGCGACGAACCAGGGCUUGCCCUGGGGCAGAGCCGCGAACGGGUGAGUAACACGUGGGUUACCUGCCUCGAUGACCGGGACAACCCGAGGAAACUCGGGCUAAUACCGGAUGUGCCCGCAAGGGGAAAGGAAGCUUCGGCCUCCGCAUCGAGAUGGGCCCGCGGCCCAUUAGCUUGUUGGUGAGGUAACGGCUCACCAAGGCUUCGAUGGGUAGCUGGUCUGAGAGGACGAUCAGCCACACUGGGACUGAGACACGGCCCAGACUCCUACGGGAGGCAGCAGUGGGGAAUCUUGCGCAAUGCGCGAAAGCGUGACGCAGCAACGCCGCGUGGGGGAAGAAGGCUUUCGGGUUGUAAACCCCUUUCAGUUGGGACGAAGCUUCGUCGGUGAAUAGCCGGCCGGAGUGACGGUACCUUCAGAAGAGCCCCGGCUAACUACGUGCCAGCAGCCGCGGU